CUUAGACAGUCGUUGCAGCUGUCUUCUUCCCUCGAACCCGUGAAGCUUCUCCAUUUCUUUUUGGAACCCGAAAACCAAACUGUAAAAGGUAAAGAAAAGGAUAACUACACUCACGUUUCUAAUGAGUUUUUUACUGUUUUGAAAUGUUAAACAUCUGGACUUGAAAUUGCAUGAAAACUGAUCAGUGUGUGUGUCGAAGUUUGAUUUUUCUCG
RNAcentral lists this long non-coding RNA (213 nucleotides) under Carica papaya (papaya). RNAcentral's name for it is "long non-coding RNA (CPAP_LNC007411)". Lineage: Eukaryota; Viridiplantae; Streptophyta; Magnoliopsida; Brassicales; Caricaceae. The record is from RNAcentral.